AUUGAACGCUGGCGGCAGGCCUAACACAUGCAAGUCGAGCGGAUGAAGGGAGCUUGCUCCUGGAUUCAGCGGCGGACGGGUGAGUAAUGCCUAGGAAUCUGCCUGGUAGUGGGGGAUAACGUCCGGAAACGGGCGCUAAUACCGCAUACGUCCUGAGGGAGAAAGUGGGGGAUCUUCGGACCUCACGCUAUCAGAUGAGCCUAGGUCGGAUUAGCUAGUUGGUGGGGUAAAGGCCUACCAAGGCGACGAUCCGUAACUGGUCUGAGAGGAUGAGCAGUCACACUGGAACUGAGACACGGUCCAGACUCCUACGCGAGGCAGCAGUGGGGAAUAUUGGACAAUAGGCGAAAGCCUGAUCCAGCCAUGCCGCGUGUGUGAAGAAGGUCUUCGGAUUGUAAAGCACUUUAAGUUGGGAGGAAGGGCAGUAAGUUAAUACCUUGCUGUUUUGACGUUACCAACAGAAUAAGCACCGGCUAACUUCGUG
RNAcentral lists this ribosomal RNA (484 nucleotides) under uncultured bacterium. Its description in RNAcentral is "partial 16S ribosomal RNA". It matches the Rfam family "Bacterial small subunit ribosomal RNA", at positions 30 to 507 of the family's 1533-position model. The record is from RNAcentral.